RNAcentral lists this ribosomal RNA (336 nucleotides) under Triticum aestivum (bread wheat). RNAcentral's name for it is "partial small subunit ribosomal RNA". Lineage: Eukaryota; Viridiplantae; Streptophyta; Magnoliopsida; Poales; Poaceae. The record is from RNAcentral.
AUGAAUCCUAAUGUCCUCGAUACUCAUCCAUGUGCAGAGGGGAAUAGCAGGUUAUGCGUCCCGGUUAGAGACUACUACUGUUACAUGCUCCAGACACAACCUGGGAUAUUCAAUCCCAUACUCUGUGGAGCACGAUUGCUCCAGCAAUGGGGGGUGGACAUGUACAUCAAGAUUGAGAGUUGUAGGUUGAAAUGGUACAGGAAGAACCAGACAAAGAUCCGUGCCGACCUGUAUAAAGGAGUUGUUGAUGCAAUUACAUCCGGGGAGACCCGGGCAAGCGCUGUUGGAGUAAGGAUAGUGCUCCCUGGAACGUACCCAGGUGGCACCGCGACAUGA